RNAcentral lists this ribosomal RNA (253 nucleotides) under uncultured bacterium. RNAcentral's name for it is "partial 16S ribosomal RNA". It matches the Rfam family "Bacterial small subunit ribosomal RNA", at positions 524 to 776 of the family's 1533-position model. The record is from RNAcentral.
UACGUAGGGUGCAAGCGUUAAUCGGAAUUACUGGGCGUAAAGCGUGCGCAGGCGGCUUUGCAAGACAGAUGUGAAAUCCCCGGGCUUAACCUGGGAACCGCAUUUGUGACUGCAUAGCUGGAGUACGGCAGAGGGGGAUGGAAUUCCGCGUGUAGCAGUGAAAUGCGUAGAUAUGCGGAGGAACACCGAUGGCGAAGGCAGUCCCCUGGGCCUGUACUGACGCUCAUGCACGAAAGCGUGGGGAGCAAACAGG